This 1372-nucleotide ribosomal RNA is filed under the name uncultured bacterium. RNAcentral describes it as "bacterial SSU rRNA". It matches the Rfam family "Bacterial small subunit ribosomal RNA", at positions 28 to 1381 of the family's 1533-position model. The record is from RNAcentral.
GAUGAACGCUGGCGGCGUGCCUAAUACAUGCAAGUCGAGCGAACGGACGAGAAGCUUGCUUCUCUGAUGUUAGCGGCGGACGGGUGAGUAACACGUGGAUAACCUACCUAUAAGACUGGGAUAACUUCGGGAAACCGGAGCUAAUACCGGAUAAUAUUUUGAACCGCAUGGUUCAAAAGUGAAAGACGGUCUUGCUGUCACCUAUAGAUGGAUCCGCGCUGCAUUAGCUAGUUGGUAAGGUAACGGCUUACCAAGGCAACGAUGCAUAGCCGACCUGAGAGGGUGAUCGGCCACACUGGAACUGAGACACGGUCCAGACUCCUACGGGAGGCAGCAGUAGGGAAUCUUCCGCAAUGGGCGAAAGCCUGACGGAGCAACGCCGCGUGGGUGAUGAAGGUCUUCGGAUCGUAAAACUCUGUUAUUAGGGAAGAACAUAUGUGUAAGUAACUGUGCACAUCUUGACGGUACCUAAUCAGAAAGCCACGGCUAACUACGUGCCAGCAGCCGCGGUAAUACGUAGGUGGCAAGCGUUAUCCGGAAUUAUUGGGCGUAAAGCGCGCGUAGGCGGUUUUUUAAGUCUGAUGUGAAAGCCCACGGCUCAACCGUGGAGGGUCAUUGGAAACUGGAAAACUUGAGUGCAGAAGAGGAAAGUGGAAUUCCAUGUGUAGCGGUGAAAUGCGCAGAGAUAUGGAGGAACACCAGUGGCGAAGGCGACUUUCUGGUCUGUAACUGACGCUGAUGUGCGAAAGCGUGGGGAUCAAACAGGAUUAGAUACCCUGGUAGUCCGCGCCGUAAACGAUGAGUGCUAAGUGUUAGGGGGUUUCCGCCCCUUAGUGCUGCAGCUAACGCAUUAAGCACUCCGCCUGGGGAGUACGACCGCAAGGUUGAAACUCAAAGGAAUUGACGGGGACCCGCACAAGCGGUGGAGCAUGCGGUUUAAUUCGAAGCAACGCGAAGAACCUUACCAAAUCUUGACAUCCUUUGACAACUCUAGAGAUAGAGCUUUCCCCUUCGGGGGACAAAGUGACAGGUGGUGCAUGGUUGUCGUCAGCUCGUGUCGUGAGAUGUUGGGUUAAGUCCCGCAACGAGCGCAACCCUUAAGCUUAGUUGCCAUCAUUAAGUUGGGCACUCUAAGUUGACUGCCGGUGACAAACCGGAGGAAGGUGGGGAUGACGUCAAAUCAUCAUGCCCCUUAUGAUUUGGGCUACACACGUGCUACAAUGGACAAUACAAAGGGCAGCGAAACCGCGAGGUCAAGCAAAUCCCAUAAAGUUGUUCUCAGUUCGGAUUGUAGUCUGCAACUCGACUACAUGAAGCUGGAAUCGCUAGUAAUCGUAGAUCAGCAUGCUACGGUGAAUACGUUCCCGGGUCU